Molecule: ribosomal RNA, 229 nt
Filed under: uncultured bacterium
Lineage: Bacteria
Description: partial 16S ribosomal RNA
Rfam family: Bacterial small subunit ribosomal RNA
Source: RNAcentral
CGGGGUGAGUAAUGUCUGGGAAACUGCCUGAUGGAGGGGGAUAACUACUGGAAACGGUAGCUAAUACCGCAUAACGUCGCAAGACCAAAGUGGGGGACCUUCGGGCCUCAUGCCAUAAGAUGUGCCCAGAUGGGAUUGGCUAGUAGGUGGGGUAACGGCUCACCUAGGCGACGAUCCCUAGCUGGUCUGAGAGGAUGACCAGCCACACUGGAACUGAGACACGGUCCAG